RNAcentral lists this ribosomal RNA (460 nucleotides) under uncultured bacterium. RNAcentral's name for it is "partial 16S ribosomal RNA". It matches the Rfam family "Bacterial small subunit ribosomal RNA", at positions 30 to 523 of the family's 1533-position model. The record is from RNAcentral.
AUUGAACGCUGGCAGCAGGCUUAACACAUGCAAGUCGAGCGGGGGAGGUUACUUCGGUAACUGACCUAGCGGCAGACGGGUGAGUAAUACAUGGGAAUCUGCCUUGUAGUAUAGGAUAACUUUUAGAAAUGAAAGCUAAUACUGUAUAUUGCCGAAAUGUGAAAGAUUUAUCGCUACAAGAUGAGCCAAUGCGGGAUUAGCUAGUUGGUAGGGUAAUGGCCUACCAAGGCAAUGAUCUCUAGUUGGUCUGAGAGGAUGAUCAGCCACACUGGAACUGAGACACGGUCCAGACUCCUACGGGAGGCAGCAGUGGGGAAUAUUGGACAAUGGGCGAAAGCCUGAUCCAGCAACGCCGCGUGAGUGCUAAGGCCUUCGGGUUGUAAAGCUCUUUUAGUAGGAAAGAUUAUGACGGUACCUACAGAAAAAGCCCCGGCUAACUUCGUGCCAGCCGCCGCGGUAA